ACUCCUACGGGAGGCAGCAGUAGGAAUUUUCCGCAAUGGACGAAAGUCAUGACGGAGCAAUGCCGCGUGAGUGAUGAAGGUUUUCGAAUUCGUAAAGCUCUGAUUGUAAGGGAAGAAUAGCAGUAGUAGGAAAUGACUACUGUGUGGACGGUACCUUACCAGAAAGCCACGGCUAACUACGUGCCAGCAGCCGCGGUAAUACGUAGGUGGCAAG
Molecule: ribosomal RNA, 214 nt
Filed under: uncultured bacterium
Lineage: Bacteria
Description: partial 16S ribosomal RNA
Rfam family: Bacterial small subunit ribosomal RNA
Source: RNAcentral